GGGGUUAUAGCUCAGCUGGGAGAGCGCUUGCAUGGCAUGCAAGAGGUCCGCCGUUCGAUCGCGCGUAGCUCCACCA
RNAcentral lists this transfer RNA (76 nucleotides) under Aeromonas jandaei. Its description in RNAcentral is "tRNA-Ala". It matches the Rfam family "tRNA". From Rfam's summary of the family: Transfer RNA (tRNA) molecules are approximately 80 nucleotides in length. Lineage: Bacteria; Pseudomonadati; Pseudomonadota; Gammaproteobacteria; Aeromonadales; Aeromonadaceae. The record is from RNAcentral.